This 441-nucleotide ribosomal RNA is filed under the name uncultured bacterium. Its description in RNAcentral is "bacterial SSU rRNA". It matches the Rfam family "Bacterial small subunit ribosomal RNA", at positions 102 to 520 of the family's 1533-position model. The record is from RNAcentral.
ACGGGUGAGUAACACGUAGGUAAUCUACCUGAAUGUCUGGAAUAACCGGUCGAAAGACUGGCUAAUACUGGAUAGAGCGAUGGGAUCCGUAAUCGGAUCUUUCGGGAAAGGGAGCUCGCAAGAGCCUUCGCAUUCAGAUGAGCCUGCGUCUCAUUAGCUAGUUGGUGAGGUAAUGGCUCACCAAGGCUUUGAUGGGUAGCUGGUCUGAGAGGAUGAUCAGCCACACUGGAACUGAAACACGGUCCAGACUCCUACGGGAGGCAGCAGUGGGGAAUCUUGCGCAAUGGACGAAAGUCUGACGCAGCCACGCCGCGUGAGUGAAGAAGGCCUUCGGGUUGUAAAGCUCUGUCGGGAGGGACGAAAAAUCUUGAGGUUAACAGCCUCAGGACUUGACGGUACCUCCAAAGGAAGCACCGGCUAACUUCGUGCCAGCAGCCGCGG